UCGUAUUUGGUCCGACC
Molecule: small RNA, 17 nt
Filed under: Bombyx mori (domestic silkworm)
Lineage: Eukaryota; Metazoa; Arthropoda; Insecta; Lepidoptera; Bombycidae
Description: ovarian small RNA-29205
Source: RNAcentral